ACCAGCUGAAGAGAGACAAUACCUACCAUACAAGGCCUCAAAAAGAGCUAUAUCAAUACUGAAAUGGUAGUUAUUAUUAUACGCGAACUCUGCCAAUGCUAAAUAUUUCUUACACUGACCACAAAAGUCCAUCCCAUAAGCAUGGAGCAUAUCUUCCAAAAAGUUAAUAGUCCACUCUGACUACCCGUCAAUCUUGGUAAAAUAUUAUGCUAAGACCACCCG
Molecule: long non-coding RNA, 222 nt
Filed under: Capsicum annuum
Lineage: Eukaryota; Viridiplantae; Streptophyta; Magnoliopsida; Solanales; Solanaceae
Description: long non-coding RNA (CANN_LNC004984)
Source: RNAcentral